GCAUGCUUCUAGCACAAACAAGCGCCCACCAGAGUAUAUAUCUUAUUGGACUCAGGAUGCACACUUCGUGAUGUCAUUAAUUCUGCAACACAACUUUUAUCUCAAGUAACGUGAAGAUGAUUUGCCAACAUGAAGACUGCAGACGACAAGGUUUCCAAGGAUUUAUGGGUCUUUAGCAUCUUACAAUGACCACAAACUAAUUUUCACACUUGCACAUAUACAGGAAAAGCCAAGAAAGUAGUGCAGUGUGAGAAAUCAAGAAACAUUGAUCUACAAGGAUUUCAAUAAUUUUGUUGAAUACUGUAAGUACUAUGGAUGCUACAGUUAAAUUGAACUGCGUAAGCAAGGGUUUCAGCUCUCAAGACACUCAAUUGUAAAGGACUUAGCUGGCAGCAUCUUUGAAUGAACUUUACACGGCUGGCACCGAAAAGCUUUCUCUGUCACUGAAACACGUUGUACAAUUACAAGAUGGAUGCUCCACUGAAUGAGAGGGAUGGAAGACUUUUAAUGAUGGUUCUACUUUGCUGAAAUAGGAAUGAGCUUCCAAUGAAUAAAGCGAUCUAUAACUCUUUGGAUGAAGAUGAGACACUAAGAGAGCUGAUUUAGUAGGUCUGACAAUCAAACCGGACUGAAUGGGAAGACUUUAGCCGACGAAGAAACAAAGAAUUACCAAAGAUAAAUUUACAAUUGUAAAAGCUCUCACAUGCAUCACAUAUCACAUGGUCUGUAAAAAAUAAUAUUCUUGGCUUAGGACAUAAUAGGAUUUUAUCCCAUGAAGA
This is a long non-coding RNA of Brassica oleracea var. oleracea, 779 nucleotides long. RefSeq lists it as uncharacterized. The record is from RefSeq and is a predicted model, not a curated record. NCBI's taxonomy places the organism in Eukaryota, Viridiplantae, Streptophyta, Magnoliopsida, Brassicales, Brassicaceae. The transcript has 6 exons.